CCUGCACCUGCCGGCGACCGGCGCACGGGUGAGUAACACGUAUGGAACCUGCCCGCCACAGGGGGAUAACCCGGGGAAACCCGGCCUAAUACCCCAUGCCGCCCGGACCGGGCAUCCGGUCCGGGCGAAAGGAGGAAUCCGGUGGCGGCUGGGCAUGCGGCGCAUUAGCUUGACGGCGGGGUAACGGCCCACCGUGGCGACGAUGCGUAGGGGUUCUGAGAGGAAGGUCCCCCACACUGGUACUGAGACACGGACCAGACUCCUACGGAAGGCAGCAG
Molecule: ribosomal RNA, 278 nt
Filed under: uncultured bacterium
Lineage: Bacteria
Description: partial 16S ribosomal RNA
Rfam family: Bacterial small subunit ribosomal RNA
Source: RNAcentral